Molecule: ribosomal RNA, 389 nt
Filed under: uncultured bacterium
Lineage: Bacteria
Description: bacterial SSU rRNA
Rfam family: Bacterial small subunit ribosomal RNA
Source: RNAcentral
AUUGAACGCUGGCGGCAUGCCUUACACAUGCAAGUCGAACGGCAGCAUGGGAGCAAUCCUGGUGGCGAGUGGCGAACGGGUGAGUAAUAUAUCGGAACGUGCCCAGUCGUGGGGGAUAACGUAGCGAAAGCUACGCUAAUACCGCAUACGAUCUAUGGAUGAAAGCGGGGGAUCGCAAGACCUCGCGCGAUUGGAGCGGCCGAUAUCAGAUUAGGUAGUUGGUGAGGUAAAGGCUCACCAAGCCGACGAUCUGUAGCUGGUCUGAGAGGACGACCAGCCACACUGGGACUGAGACACGGCCCAGACUCCUACGGGAGGCAGCAGUGGGGAAUUUUGGACAAUGGGCGCAAGCCUGAUCCAGCAAUGCCGCGUGCAGGAUGAAGGCCUGG